This is an RNA transcript of Ceratitis capitata (Mediterranean fruit fly), 1058 nucleotides long. It is a transcript of the gene named probable nuclear transport factor 2, with no coding region annotated. The transcript has 5 exons. The record is from RefSeq and is a predicted model, not a curated record. Lineage: Eukaryota; Metazoa; Arthropoda; Insecta; Diptera; Tephritidae.
GGUUUAAAUUUUUGAAAUAAAAUUAACAUAUUUCUAAUAAGUUCAUUUGGAUUUUCAAUGUGUUCAAUUUAUAUAUUGGUGAAACGAAUUAAUUCACAGUUGGUAGUGUUGGCUACACUGACAGCGCGCAAUCAACCGAUUUCGCACACGGCAAAGGAAACGAACUAAAUCCGUCGGAAUUUGCACGGAAAUAAAUUCCUAUUUUUUUAUAAGUUACUCGUAUUUUUGCAUAAUUUUAGUUACUGGAUUAUAAAAAGGCGAUGGCGUUGAAUCCACAGUACGAGGAUAUUGGUAAAGGAUUUGUGCAACAAUAUUAUGCGACAUUUGACGACCCCAACCUCAGAGCGAAUGUGGCUAAUUUCUACAGUGCAACAGAAUCAUUCAUGUCCUUUGAGGGCGUACAGAUACAAGGAGCACCCAAAAUAAUGGAAAAAUUAUCUAGUUUAUCUUUCCAAAAAAUCUCAAGAGUUAUAACAGCAGUGGACUCGCAACCAAUGUUCGAUGGUGGAGUAUUAAUCAAUGUAUUGGGCAGACUUAAGACCGAUGAUGACCAGCCGCAUGCGUACAUUCAAACAUUUGUUCUUAAACCAGUGGGUGUUAGUUUCUUCGUACAACAUGAUAUUUUCAGGCUAUCUCUACACGACGUAUAGUUUCAAGGAAAUUAUGCACUGCGUGCACUGCCCCCAAAACACGCGCUUGACAGUGAACGCUACAGCUACUGCUGCGUUAACUACAUAAAUGAAAAUUUUAAUAAAAACUAUGCUACUUUGCUAACGUAUGUUACCUUAAAUAACGAUAAACAGAAAAAACGAGAAAUGGCAACAAUUUAGAAUAAUAAAUUUGACUGACUAGUGACUGUGUCGCUCUUACACGUCGGCACUGCCGCCCACAUCGCCUUUUUCAUCGCUGCCGAAUAGCUAUGAAGAGCGAUCAAUUGAAGCCGGUGGACAUAAAUAAACGUGAUUGUAUCUGUGAUGACGAUCCACCACAUGCUUUCUCACAAGUCUUCGUCUUGCGGCCAAUCGGCAGUACAUUUUUCUGUGCACACGACAUCUUUC